Long non-coding RNA from Belonocnema kinseyi, 817 nucleotides. RefSeq lists it as uncharacterized. The transcript is spliced from 4 exons. The record is from RefSeq and is a predicted model, not a curated record. Lineage: Eukaryota; Metazoa; Arthropoda; Insecta; Hymenoptera; Cynipidae.
CGACCGAGAUAGCCUUUAUUUCCUUCAGCGAAUUUCUUUUUAUGACAUCAAUUGACUUAUAGCACGUUCUCUGGAGCGGAUAUUUGAGUUAAAAAAAAAGGAAAAAGUCACAGGGAGCCAAAUCUGGAGAAUAUGGUGGCUGACCGAUGAAUUUUGUUUCGUGUUUGGCCAACAAUUCAGUCACAAUCAGGCUGGAAUGUGACGACGCAUUAUCGUGGUGAAAAAUCCAUAAAUUGUCUACCCGAAAAUCCGGCCGCUUAAGACGAAUUGCUUCACGUAGACGCCUCAAAACGGCCAAAUAGCCAAGCACAAUUUUCAUCACUUUUUCGAUGUUAUCGUCAUUAACAGAGGUGGAUGGACGACUCAAAUGAGAAUCUACAACUUAGAUGAUGAGGAAUCUGCACCUGAAAAGACAAAACCACAGAGACCAGCAAGGUGAUAAUCAUGAAAGUGGUACUCAAAAAGUUUUUGAUUUUAGAAAAUACAUCGAUUGUAUGAAUGCAGAGGAGCAAGAAAGGCUAAAUGUUAAAUCCGCCAGAGCAAUUUUCUCUUCAGAUGCUUCACUCUCGAUGCUCGAAAAUGAAUACUGGCUAGAUUUUUUUCAAGAAUUGCGCCCCUCUUGGAAACCGCCGUCAACAUAUCUAAUUAGCAAUCCUCUUUUAAACGCGGAGUAUGAGAGACUGGAACUAGUCGUCAAUGAAUGCUAUUGCAAAAUCAACUGCAAUUGGAGUCCAAUGUGAUGGCUGGAGUAAUAGACGGAAAGAGUAUUGUUAACUUCGUUGUGACUACUCCGGAGACUGUGCUAUACAAUAAAAGA